UUUUUUGGUUAUGUCUUUAUUGGUUUUGGUAUCAGGGUAAUACUGACCUCACGAAUGAAUUUGGACAUUUUCUUUCCUCUUCUAUGUUUUGGAAUAGUUUGAGAAAUUUAGAUGUUAACUCUUCUUUAAAUGUUGGUAAAAUUCAUGUGCAUAGCCAUCUGGUCCUGGAGUUUUCUUUGUUGGGAAUUUUGUUAUUACUCAUUCACUUUCCUUGCUGGUUAAUGAUCUCUAAAAUUUUUCUAUUUCUUUAUGUUUCAGUUUUGGUAGGUUUUUAUAAAAAAAUAUUUAUUUAUUCAUGAGAGACACAGAGAGAGGCAGAGACAUAGGCAGAGGGAGAAGCAGGCUCCCUGCAGGGAGCCUGAUCCAGAACUCAAUCCCAGGACCCUGGGAUCAUGACCUGAACCAAAGGCAGAUGAUCAACCACUGAGCCAGGUGCCUAGUAGUUUAUUUGGUUGUAAAAAAUUAUUCAUUUCUAAGGUUAGGUUAUUUAUUUGAGACUUCCCUUGUUUCUUGAGGUAUGCUUGUAUUGCUAUAAACUUCCUUCUUAGAACCAUUUUUGGUGCAUCCCAAUAUUUUGGAUCUUUGUGUUUUCAUGUUCUUUUGCUGAUUUGUUUCUGAUUUGCUCUUUGAUUCCUUAAUUGAUCUAUUCAUUGUCUAGGAACAUGUUCUUUAACCUCCAUGUAUUUGCCCUUUUUCCAUAUCAUUAUUUUCUAGUUUCAUAGUGUUGUCAUAAAAAUGUAUGGUAUCAUUUCCGUCUUUUUUAACAUGUUAAGAUAUGUUUUUUGGUCUCAUGUGUGUUCUAUUCUGGAUAAUGUCUCAUGUGCACUUGAAAAGAAUGUAUUUUUAUGUUUUAGGAUGCAAUGAUCUGAAUAUGUCUGUUAGAUCUAUCUGGCCUAUUGUGUCAUUCAAAGCCACUGUUUCCUUGUUGAUUUUCUGUUUAGGUGAUCUUUCCAUCAAUGUAUGGGAGGGACGUUAAGGUCCUCUACUGUUAUUGUAUUGGUAUAGAGUAGCUCCCUUACAUUUGUUAUUUGCAGUUUUAUGUAUUUGAGUGUUCUCAUGUUGGGUGCAUAAAUAUUUACAAUUGGUUAAACCUUCUUGUUAGAUUCCCCCUUUAUUAUUAUGUAGUGUCCUUCUUUGUCUCUUGUUAUAGACUUUGUUUUAAUGUCUUUUUAUUGUCCAAUAUAAAUAUUGCUACCCUGGCUUUCUUUUGAUGUCCAUUUGCAUGAGAAACAUUUCUCCAUCCCCUCACUUUCAAUCUUUACAUGCCUUUGGGUCUGAAAUGAGUCUCUUGUAGGCAGCAUAUAGAUGGAUUUUUUCUUUUUCUUUUUAAAAAGAUUUUACUUAUUUAUUUAGGAAAGACACAGAGACACAGGCAGUAGGAGAAGCAGGCUCCCUGUGGGGCGUCUGAUGUGAGACUCGAUCACAGGACCCCGGGAUCACACCCUGAGCCGAAGGCAGAUGCUCAACCACUGAGCUACCCAGGAGUCCCUGGAUUUUUUUUCUUUUAAAGAUUUUAUUUAUUCAUUUAUUAGAGAGAGAACAAGUGGGUGGAGGGACAGAGUGAGAGAGAAGCAGACUCCUCACUGAGCAAGGAGCCAGAUAUGGGGGCUCGAUCUCAGGACUCUGGAAUCAAGACCUGAGCUGAAAGCAGACACUUAACCAACUGAGCCACCCAAGUGCCCUGGAUUUUUUUUUUAUCUACU
RNAcentral lists this long non-coding RNA (1703 nucleotides) under Canis lupus familiaris (dog). RNAcentral describes it as "lncRNA (ENSCAFG00845030438.1)". The record is from RNAcentral. Lineage: Eukaryota; Metazoa; Chordata; Mammalia; Carnivora; Canidae.